RNAcentral lists this ribosomal RNA (494 nucleotides) under uncultured bacterium. RNAcentral's name for it is "partial 16S ribosomal RNA". It matches the Rfam family "Bacterial small subunit ribosomal RNA", at positions 29 to 507 of the family's 1533-position model. The record is from RNAcentral.
ACGAACGCUGGCGGCGUGCCUAAUACAUGCAAGUAGCACGCUGAAGGAGGAGCUUGCUCUUCUGGAUGAGUUGCGAACGGGUGAGUAACGCGUAGGUAACCUGCCUGGUAGCGGGGGAUAACUAUUGGAAACGAUAGCUAAUACCGCAUAAGAGUAGAUGUUGCAUGACAUUUACUUAAAAGGUGCAAUUGCAUCACUACCAGAUGGACCUGCGUUGUAUUAGCUAGUUGGUGGGGUAACGGCUUACCAAGGCGACGAUACAUAGCCGACCUGAGAGGGUGAUCGGCCACACUGGGACUGAGACACGGCCCAGACUCCUACGGGAGGCAGCAGUAGGGAAUCUUCGGCAAUGGACGGAAGUCUGACCGAGCAACGCCGCGUGAGUGAAGAAGGUUGUCGGAUCGUAAAGCUCUGUUGUAAGAGAAGAACGAGUGUGAGAGUGGAAAGUUCACACUGUGACGGUAUCUUACCAGAAAGGGACGGCUAACUACGUG